Molecule: ribosomal RNA, 1224 nt
Filed under: uncultured bacterium
Lineage: Bacteria
Also listed under: 1 other name
Description: bacterial SSU rRNA
Rfam family: Bacterial small subunit ribosomal RNA
Source: RNAcentral
UAGAGUUUGAUCCUGGCUCAGAACGAACGCUGGCGGCGUGCUUAACACAUGCAAGUCGAACGAGAAAGGGCUCUUCGGGGCCUGAGUAAAGUGGCGCACGGGUGAGUAACGCGUAGAUAACCUAUCCUGGUGUCUGGGAUAACCCACCGAAAGGUGGACUAAUACCGGAUACGCUUGUUGAUCGGGAGAGAGACGAGGAAAGAUGGCCUCUGAUAUAAGCUAUCGCACCGGGAGGGGUCUGCGUACCAUUAGCUAGUUGGUGGGGUAAGGGCCUACCAAGGCGACGAUGGUUAGCGGGUCUGAGAGGAUGAUCCGUCACACUGGCACUGAAACACGGGCCAGACUCCUACGGGAGGCAGCAGUGAGGAAUAUUGCGCAAUGGGGGAAACCCUGACGCAGCGACGCCGCGUGAGUGAGGAAGGCCUUCGGGUCGUAAAACUCUGUCAGAAGGGAAGAAAUGCAGGGAGGUUAAUACCCUUUCUGUUUGACGGUACCUUCAGAGGAAGCACCGGCUAACUCCGUGCCAGCAGCCGCGGUAAUACGGAGGGUGCGAGCGUUGUUCGGAAUCACUGGGCGUAAAGGGCGCGCAGGCGGUUUGUUAAGUCAGAUGUGAAAGCCCACGGCUCAACCGUGGAAGUGCAUUUGAAACUGGCAGACUUGAGUACCAGAGGGGAAAGUGGAAUUCCCGGUGUAGAGGUGAAAUUCGUAGAUAUCGGGAGGAAUACCGGUGGCGAAGGCGACUUUCUGGCUGGAUACUGACGCUGAGGCGCGAAAGCGUGGGGAGCAAACAGGAUUAGAUACCCUGGUAGUCCACGCCGUAAACGAUGUCAACUAGGUGUUGGGGGUGUUGAUCCCCUCAGUGCCGGAGCUAACGCAUUAAGUUGACCGCCUGGGGAGUACGGUCGCAAGAUUAAAACUCAAAGGAAUUGACGGGGGCCCGCACAAGCGGUGGAGUAUGUGGUUUAAUUCGAUGCAACGCGAAGAACCUUACCUGGUCUUGACAUCCCGGGAAUCUCCUGGAAACAGGAGAGUGCUUUCAUUAGGAAGAACCCGGUGACAGGUGCUGCAUGGCUGUCGUCAGCUCGUGUCGUGAGAUGUUGGGUUAAGUCCCGCAACGAGCGCAACCCUCGCCUUUAGUUGCCAUCAGGUUAUGCUGGGCACUCUAAAGGGACUGCCGGUGUCAAACCGGAGGAAGGUGGGGAUGACGUCAAGUCCUCAUGGCCA